AUUAGUCCCAGUGAAACAGCCCCAGCAGAGCUGCUGGCACAACACAUGGCGCAUGGAAAAUGGUCAGGAGCCUUUGCUGCCACAUGCUUUCCUAGCAGGAAGGCUCUGUGGAAAAAGCACAGCUUGUAAGAAGCUUUAAAACUCUUUGCCUGUGGACUUCCCAAUUUCUCAUGGGCUUUACUUCCCAGUGACAGCAGGGUGGAAGAGCUGUGCAUCAGUGGGUGGUGACAGAAAAAUCCUUCCUGAGGAGCGUGGAUCCCAAACUGAGACUGUGGGUGGAUUAAGAGACUGAGACAGGUCUUUCGCUACUUUCAAAACUGAAUGAUAAAGAAUUAGCCCAUCUGGCAACUGAGGCCUGAAAGUGCUGACAAAGACACCACGUAAUCACAUGUUGCUGUUUAUCUCUUUCUCUAUUUUAAGAUGCAGAAUAAAUUCUGAUGCCAAAUCAUGGCCAUAA
Long non-coding RNA from Pseudopipra pipra, 457 nucleotides. RefSeq lists it as uncharacterized. The record is from RefSeq and is a predicted model, not a curated record. The transcript has 3 exons. NCBI's taxonomy places the organism in Eukaryota, Metazoa, Chordata, Aves, Passeriformes, Pipridae.